AACGCACAUUGCGCCCGCUAGUAUUCUGGCGGGCAUGCCUGUUCGAGCGUCAUUUCAACCAUCAAGCCCUAGGCUUGUGUUGGGGCCCUGCGGCUGUCCGCAGCCCCCUAAAAACAGUGGCGGGCUCGCUAUAUACCGAGUGCAGUAGUUUACUCUUCGCUCAGGACAUGUAGUGGGUUCUUGCCGUAAAACCCCCCAUUUAUCAAGGUUGACCUCGGAUCAGGUAGGAAUACCCGCUGAACUUAA
RNAcentral lists this unclassified non-coding RNA (246 nucleotides) under uncultured Lasiosphaeriaceae. RNAcentral describes it as "sequence contains ITS2". The record is from RNAcentral. Lineage: Eukaryota; Fungi; Ascomycota; Sordariomycetes; Sordariales; Lasiosphaeriaceae.